UCGGGUUUUCUAUCAGCGAAUA
RNAcentral lists this microRNA (22 nucleotides) under Ascaris suum (pig roundworm). Its description in RNAcentral is "asu-miR-76-5p". Its record names the gene asu-miR-76-5p. The record is from miRBase by way of RNAcentral. Lineage: Eukaryota; Metazoa; Nematoda; Chromadorea; Rhabditida; Ascarididae.